UGAUAUUCUGCUUUACUUUUCAAUCAGACGAAACGAACCAGAAAAAUCAUGGCUUCUCAGGUCCUCAGACGCGCUCUAGGAAGCCGGUCCUCCCAGAUCCUCUCCUCCACCACCACCGCUGCCGCUGCUCCUAAUUAUUCCUUAUUAGCUUCUGCAGCCAGGGCCUUCUCCUCCGCCACAACUCCGAUCACAGCCACCCUCUUUCCCGGUGACGGCAUUGGCCCCGAGAUCGCUGAGUCUGUCAAACAGGUAUUUAAAGCAGCUGAGGUGCCAAUUGAGUGGGAAGAGCACUAUGUUGGGACUGAAAUAGAUCCUAGAACCCAGAGUUUCUUAACAUGGGAAAGUUUGGAGUCAGUUAGACAAAACAGAGUAGGUUUGAAAGGGCCAAUGGCCACACCCAUUGGCAAAGGCCAUCGUUCUUUGAAUCUCACUCUCAGGAAAGAACUUAAUUUGUAUGCCAAUGUCAGGCCUUGCAACAGCCUUCCAGGCUAUAAAACCCGGUACGAUGAUGUGAAUCUUAUUACUAUCCGUGAAAAUACGGAAGGGGAAUACAGUGGACUUGAACAUCAAGUGGUGAGAGGUGUUGUUGAAAGUCUCAAAAUCAUUACUCGUCAGGCUAGUUUGAGGGUGGCUGAAUAUGCUUUUCACUAUGCAAAGACCCAUGGUCGGGAGAGAGUGUCUGCAAUUCACAAGGCAAACAUUAUGCAGAAAACUGAUGGUCUGUUUCUUAAGUGCUGCCGUGAGGUUGCAGAGAAGUACCCUGAGAUAACAUAUGAGGAAGUUGUUAUUGACAACUGCUGUAUGAUGGUAUAUUAAAUCCCUUUCUUUGGUGUUUUGUGUAUUUGGCUUUUGUUUGUGGGAAACCAAGAGGGGAAAGAAAAGGAGGGGAGACAAAAUGGAGGAAUAGAGAGUGAAGGGGGAUAAUAAUUCUCUCCUGUUGUUAAGGAGGGAGAAGAAAUGAGAAGAGUAAUUCUUUUCAUUAAUUCAAAUUACCAUAAUGGCCUUCACUGUAUUCAAUGGAAGAAUUAAUUAUAUGGACAGAUUAGUAAAUGCAAUGAUUUUCACCCCAAAUUGAGAAAGUCUUUGAUGGCAUCAAGCCAAAAGAUUCUUUCACCUCCUUAGGGCUAGAGUAACUGGUAACAUUCUCUUUGCUCCUUCUCUUACUUUUCCCUCAUCAUUGCCCCUUCCCAAUCAUAAGGAUUAGUGUCUGAUGAAGGGAAGAUUCUAAAAUACACUGGGACACAGUGGUCCCUGUAGAAACAAAAAACAGUUUCUUCCUUGAUCUUAGAAGGUGGGUCCCGUGUAUUUUGUGAGAGAGGGGUAUAAACACUAGAUGCACCUGAUAAUUCCUCUUGAUGAAGAAAAGGUCUCUCUUUCUAUCUAUCUACACGCACACCCCCUAUACAAGGAGGGGAAAAAAACUGUGUAAAGACACAUCUGAUUACUUGUGUCUCUGUACAGCUUGUGAAGAAUCCAGCAUUGUUUGAUGUAUUGGUGAUGCCUAACCUCUAUGGUGACAUUAUCAGUGACCUGUGUGCAGGAUUGAUUGGUGGUUUGGGCUUAACACCAAGCUGCAAUAUUGGUGAAGGAGGCAUUGCUCUUGCUGAAGCCGUACAUGGUUCAGCACCUGAUAUUGCUGGGAAGAAUUUGGCAAAUCCCACUGCCUUGCUGUUAAGUGCUGUCACAAUGUUGCGCCAUUUAGAGCUCAAUGACAAGGCUGAUAUGAUCCAGGAUGCUAUCCUUAACACAAUUGCUGGGGGAAAGUACCGAACUGCAGAUCUAGGUGGUACUUCAUCUACAACUGAUUUUACAAAGGCAAUAUGUGACCAUCUUUAGAGAUUCCUAUGGAGAAUUCUUUUAGUUUCACACUGUUCUUUUUGGAGCCAUGUGUAAAAACUGUUUUUAGUUGUUUCCAGAGGGGAAUAAGACUGCAUAACUGAGAUGGUUGUAUAGAAGAUCCUUAAUAUUGCUGUUCCUAAGAUAUAGGAGCCAAAUAUUGUGCUCCUGCCUAUUUUAAUAUCUCAAAAUGAACAA
This 2034-nucleotide unclassified non-coding RNA is filed under the name Hevea brasiliensis (rubber tree). The record is from RNAcentral. Lineage: Eukaryota; Viridiplantae; Streptophyta; Magnoliopsida; Malpighiales; Euphorbiaceae.